GCUUUACUUACAUUGUAAAAUGAGGUUAAAUGUGUAUCACUGAAUUGUAUGAUUUGUUCAGGAUCAGCUGAGAUGUUAUUUCACUGGAUUAUUUAAUGGAUAGGCUUAUUGGGCAUAUGGUUGGAUAUCUCUGGAUCAGCUGAGAUGUUAUUUCACUGGAUUAUUUAAUGGAUAGGCUUAUUGGGCAUAUAGUUGAAUAUCUCUGUCAUCAACAUGGAAGAAAUGUUUUGUUCCUAACCAUCUAUAAUGAAUUCUCUAUGAAGUUCAGACUGUCUGCUCUUCCUUUGGAAAUACACAGUUAGUCAAUCAACAUAGAAACACACAAACUUGAAGGAUAUUCUAGUGAGGGCUUGUGGAAAUGAUCUAUGUCUACUCUCAGAAUGGUGAAAGACUAUCAGAUUAUGCAAAGACUAACAGAAUAUCCUCUCUUGGAACACUGAAACAAGAAAAUCAAACAGGAGGUGGAUGGAGGAUUUAAGAAGCACAUAGAUAAAUAUGAUUUCCAACCAAUUUAACCAGUAUGAUCAUAAACUGUGGUUUACAGGAUGACAAAGAAAGGAGCCAGGAUUGUAUCUUUCACUGUCAGACACUGACUAUGAAUAAGAUGUAGCCAUUUAUCAGACUGAGAUCUAGUCAAAUCAAGUAUUGAAAAUAUGAAAAUAUGAUUUUCUGAUAGCAUGAGCUCUUUAAAAACUAAUUCUCACUGACCUCAAAGUAUGUGAAUGUGACUUUUAUUUUUACCAAUUCAUAUUGAAGACUGUUGUUAUGUAUGGGAAUUACACAUUAAAACCUUUUAUUUUUCAUCUAAUUUUUACAACCCCCUAGAAAUUAACACAGAUAUCCAGAUGCUGGAUUUAAUGUUAUUAUUUAACUUUCCUGGAACUGUAAAUAUAUUUUGUUUGUGUAUGUAUCAUGUUUAAUUUUGAAUUUAAAAUUGGUCUCAAUAAGACCCCCAAUAAAGAUGCAAGUGUCCCAUAAUCUGUGUUUUAAUAAUAUUUUGAAUAUCUUUAUCAUACCAUAUUCAUCAUACUAAUUACAUAUAGAAUGGUUGUAGGAAUACACUUUGUUGUUAAGGACACUUUGUCAAGGUCAAAGCAUAAGAUUAUUGAGAUGACUUCUUUGACAAUAAUUUGUAACUUACAAACUUCACAUCAUAAGUACACACUCAGAUUUAAGAAUCAAUAAGAUAUUUCUAUAGAGUUUUUGGAUCAUUUACUCCUGGGUAAAAGUUAAUUACUGAGAUUACUGAUUUGAAUCCUGUAAUGCAAUAACUUAAACAUUGUGUAAUAACUUAUAGACUUUAUAAAAAUUAGGUGCAAAUUCUUAG
Molecule: long non-coding RNA, 1327 nt
Organism: Saccostrea cuccullata (small rock oyster)
Lineage: Eukaryota; Metazoa; Mollusca; Bivalvia; Ostreida; Ostreidae
Exons: 4
Source: RefSeq, a predicted model, not a curated record